RNAcentral lists this ribosomal RNA (506 nucleotides) under uncultured bacterium. RNAcentral's name for it is "bacterial SSU rRNA". It matches the Rfam family "Bacterial small subunit ribosomal RNA", at positions 28 to 536 of the family's 1533-position model. The record is from RNAcentral.
GAUGAACGCUGGCGGCGUGCUUAACACAUGCAAGUCGAACGGAGAAAGGGUAGCUUGCUAUCUUUUCUUAGUGGCGGACGGGUGAGUAACGCGUGGGUAACCUACCCUUUGCAGGGGGACAACAGUGAGAAAUCGCUGCUAAUACCGCAUAACAACUUCUUUCGCAUGAAAGAAGUUUGAAAGAUUUAUCGGCAAAAGGGAUGGACCCGCGUUGGAUUAGCUAGUUGGUGAGAUAACAGCCCACCAAGGCAACGAUCCAUAGCCGGCCUGAGAGGGUGAACGGCCACACUGGGACUGAGACACGGCCCAGACUCCUACGGGAGGCAGCAGUGGGGAAUAUUGCACAAUGGGCGAAAGCCUGAUGCAGCGACGCCGCGUGAAGGAUGAAGGUCUUCGGAUUGUAAACUUCUAAUCAGCAGGGAGAAAGGGCUAUGGCCUAUGACGGUACCUGACUAAGAAGCCCCGGCUAACCUACGUGCCAGCAGCCGCGGUAAAACGUCGAACCG